Molecule: ribosomal RNA, 446 nt
Filed under: uncultured bacterium
Lineage: Bacteria
Description: partial 16S ribosomal RNA
Rfam family: Bacterial small subunit ribosomal RNA
Source: RNAcentral
CCUACGGGUGGCAGCAGUCGAGAAUCAUUCACAAUGGGGGAAACCCUGAUGGUGCGACGCCGCGUGGGGGAAUGAAGGUCUUCGGAUUGUAAACCCCUGUCAUGUGGGAGCAAAUUAAAAAGAUAGUACCACAAGAGGAAGAGACUGCUAACUCUGUGCCAGCAGCCGCGGUAAUACAGCGGUCUCAAGCGUUGUUCGGAAUCACUGGGCGUAAAGGGUGCGUAGGCUGUUUCGUAAGUCGUGUGUGAAAGGCGCGGGCUCAACCCGCGAACGGCACAUGAUACUGCGAGACUAGAGUAAUGGAGGGGGAACCGGAAUUCUCGGUGUAGCAGUGAAAGGCGUAGAUAUCGAGAGGAACACUCGUGGCGAAGGCGGGUUCCUGGACAUUAACUGACGCUGAGGCACGAAGGCCAGGGGAGCGAAAGGGAUUAGAUACCCGGGUAGUC